UCUCCGUAGGUGAACCUGCGGAGGGAUCAUUACCGAAUGUGGAACUCCCAGGCCCCACUUCGCACCCUGUGUUUUGGUGACCUUGUUGCUCUGGCGGGUCCGCCACGAUGAGAGGCCGCCGGAGGCUCACCGAUCUGGGCUCGUACCCGACACUUGUCACCAUAACUACUUAAGAAACCUAACGUCUGAGUCCAGAUAACUUAAAAAAAACGUUCAACAAGCGAUCUCUUGGUUCUGGCAUCGAACAGAUAGGCAGCAGACACGAAGAGCACACGGCUU
This 279-nucleotide unclassified non-coding RNA is filed under the name plant metagenome. RNAcentral describes it as "partial contains small subunit ribosomal RNA, internal transcribed spacer 1, and 5.8S ribosomal RNA". The record is from RNAcentral.